RNAcentral lists this ribosomal RNA (925 nucleotides) under Parathielavia kuwaitensis. Its description in RNAcentral is "partial large subunit ribosomal RNA". It matches the Rfam family "Eukaryotic large subunit ribosomal RNA", at positions 1 to 967 of the family's 3401-position model. Lineage: Eukaryota; Fungi; Ascomycota; Sordariomycetes; Sordariales; Chaetomiaceae. The record is from RNAcentral.
GGAUCAGGUAGGAAGACCCGCUGAACUUAAGCAUAUCAAUAAGCGGAGGAAAAGAAACCAACAGGGAUUGCCCCAGUAACGGCGAGUGAAGCGGCAACAGCUCAAAUUUGAAAUCUGGCCUCGGCCCGAGUUGUAAUUUGCAGAGGAAGCUUUAGGCGCGGCCCCAACUGAGUCCCCUGGAACGGGGCGCCACAGAGGGUGAGAGCCCCGUAUAGUUGGACGCCUAGCCUGUGUAAAGCUCCUUCGACGAGUCGAGUAGUUUGGGAAUGCUGCUCAAAAUGGGAGGUAAAUUUCUUCUAAAGCUAAAUACCGGCCAGAGACCGAUAGCGCACAAGUAGAGUGAUCGAAAGAUGAAAAGCACUUUGAAAAGAGGGUUAAAUAGCACGUGAAAUUGUUGAAAGGGAAGCGCUUGUGACCAGACUUGCGCCGGGCUGAUCAUCCGGUGUUCUCACCGGUGCACUCUGCCCGGCUCAGGCCAGCAUCGGUUCUCGCGGGGGGACAAAGGCUCCGGGAACGUAGCUCCUCCGGGAGUGUUAUAGCCCGGGGCGCAAUGCCCCCGCGGGGACCGAGGACCGCGCUCUGCAAGGAUGCUGGCGUAAUGGUCAUCAGCGACCCGUCUUGAAACACGGACCAAGGAGUCAAGGUUUUGCGCGAGUGUUUGGGUGUAAAACCCGCACGCGUAAUGAAAGUGAACGUAGGUGAGAGCUUCGGCGCAUCAUCGACCGAUCCUGAUGUUCUCGGAUGGAUUUGAGUAGGAGCGUUAAGCCUUGGACCCGAAAGAUGGUGAACUAUGCUUGGAUAGGGUGAAGCCAGAGGAAACUCUGGUGGAGGCUCGCAGCGGUUCUGACGUGCAAAUCGAUCGUCAAAUCUGAGCAUGGGGGCGAAAGACUAAUCGAACCAUCUAGUAGCUGGUUACCGCCGAAGU